GACGAACGCUAGCGGCGUGCUUAACACAUGCAAGUCGAACGGAAAGGCCUCUUUCGGGGGGUACUCGAGUGGCGAACGGGUGAGUAACACGUGAGUAACCUGCCCUUGACUUUGGGAUAACUUCAGGAAACUGGGGCUAAUACCGGAUAGGAGCUCCUGCUGCAUGGUGGGGGUUGGAAAGUUUCGGCGGUUGGGGAUGGACUCGCGGCUUAUCAGCUUGUUGGUGGGGUAGUGGCUUACCAAGGCUUUGACGGGUAGCCGGCCUGAGAGGGUGACCGGCCACAUUGGGACUGAGAUACGGCCCAGACUCCUACGGGAGGCAGCAGUGGGGAAUAUUGCACAAUGGGUGGAAGCCUGAUGCAGCAACGCCGUGUGCGGGAUGACGGCCUUCGGGUUGUAAACCGCUUUCGCUCAUGACGAAGCUUUGUGUGACGGUAGUGGGUAAAGAAGCACCGGCUAACUACGUG
This 467-nucleotide ribosomal RNA is filed under the name uncultured bacterium. Its description in RNAcentral is "partial 16S ribosomal RNA". It matches the Rfam family "Bacterial small subunit ribosomal RNA", at positions 28 to 507 of the family's 1533-position model. The record is from RNAcentral.